AGCAAUUCUACGGUACUUGAGGAGGUACCAUGAGGUAUCAAAAAUUUAGUGUAAAAUUUAAUACCUCAUAGUACCUCAUAGUAUCUAGGUACCAAAUUUACAAUAGAAAAAAGGAGAUCAAGGGUUCUAAUUGAUUCCAAGCACAAAAGAAACUCUCUAAGUGGUACCUCAUGGUACCUUCUCAAGGACCGUAAAAUUGC
RNAcentral lists this unclassified non-coding RNA (200 nucleotides) under Oryza sativa (Asian cultivated rice). RNAcentral's name for it is "partial microRNA MIR440a-4 precursor". The record is from RNAcentral. Lineage: Eukaryota; Viridiplantae; Streptophyta; Magnoliopsida; Poales; Poaceae.